This 491-nucleotide ribosomal RNA is filed under the name uncultured bacterium. Its description in RNAcentral is "partial 16S ribosomal RNA". It matches the Rfam family "Bacterial small subunit ribosomal RNA", at positions 29 to 506 of the family's 1533-position model. The record is from RNAcentral.
AGUGAACGCUGGCGGUAGGCCUAACACAUGCAAGUCGAACGGCAGCACAGUAAGAGCUUGCUCUUACGGGUGGCGAGUGGCGGACGGGUGAGGAAUACAUCGGAAUCUACUUUUUCGUGGGGGAUAACGUAGGGAAACUUACGCUAAUACCGCAUACGACCUACGGGUGAAAGCAGGGGAUCUUCGGACCUUGCGCGAUUGAAUGAGCCGAUGUCGGAUUAGCUAGUUGGCGGGGUAAAGGCCCACCAAGGCGACGAUCCGUAGCUGGUCUGAGAGGAUGAUCAGCCACACUGGAGCUGAGCCGCGGUCCAGGCUCCUACGGGAGGCAGCAGUGGCGAAUAUUGGACAAUGGGCGCAAGCCUGACCCAGCCAUACCGCGUGGGUGAAGAAGGCCUUCGGGUUGUAAAGCCCUUUUGUUGGGAAAGAAAAGCAGCAGGUUAAUACCCCGCUGUUCUGACGGUACCCAAAGAAGAAGCACCGGCUAACUUCGU